CGGGCUAAUACCGGAUGUGGUACGGAGACAUAAGUCUCUUUACUAAAGGUAGCUUCGGCUUCCGCAUUGGGAGGGGCCCGCGGCCCAUUAGCUAGUUGGUGGGGUCAAGGCCUACCAAGGCAACGAUGGGUAGCUGGCUGAGAGGACGAUCAGCCACACUGGGACUGAGACACGGCCCAGACUCCUACGGGAGGCAGCAGUGGGGAAUCUUGCGCAAUGCGCGAAAGCGUGACGCAGCAACACCGCGUGAGGGAAGACGGCCUUAGGGUUGUAAACCUCUUUCAGAUGGGACGAAGGUGAUGCGGUGAAUAGCCGAUGUCAUUGACGGUACCGUCAGAAGAAGCUCCGGCUAACUACGUG
Molecule: ribosomal RNA, 360 nt
Filed under: uncultured bacterium
Lineage: Bacteria
Description: bacterial SSU rRNA
Rfam family: Bacterial small subunit ribosomal RNA
Source: RNAcentral